GUCUACGGCCAUGCCACCUUGAACGCGCUCGAUCUCUUCUGAUCUCGGAAGCUAAGCAGUGUCGGGCGUGGUUAGUACUUGGAUGGGAGACCACCCAGGAAUACCAGGUGCUGUAGGCG
RNAcentral lists this ribosomal RNA (119 nucleotides) under Pteropus alecto (black flying fox). The record is from RNAcentral. Lineage: Eukaryota; Metazoa; Chordata; Mammalia; Chiroptera; Pteropodidae.